This 1051-nucleotide ribosomal RNA is filed under the name Bacillus sp. (in: firmicutes). RNAcentral describes it as "bacterial SSU rRNA". The record is from RNAcentral. Lineage: Bacteria; Bacillati; Bacillota; Bacilli; Caryophanales; Bacillaceae.
UGCAGUCGAGCGGACAGAAGGGAGCUUGCUCCCGGAUGUUAGCGGCGGACGGGUGAGUAACACGUGGGUAACCUGCCUGUAAGACUGGGAUAACUCCGGGAAACCGGAGCUAAUACCGGAUAGUUCCUUGAACCGCAUGGUUCAAGGAUGAAAGACGGUUUCGGCUGUCACUUACAGAUGGACCCGCGGCGCAUUAGCUAGUUGGUGGGGUAAUGGCUCACCAAGGCGACGAUGCGUAGCCGACCUGAGAGGGUGAUCGGCCACACUGGGACUGAGACACGGCCCAGACUCCUACGGGAGGCAGCAGUAGGGAAUCUUCCGCAAUGGACGAAAGUCUGACGGAGCAACGCCGCGUGAGUGAUGAAGGUUUUCGGAUCGUAAAGCUCUGUUGUUAGGGAAGAACAAGUGCGAGAGUAACUGCUCGCACCUUGACGGUACCUAACCAGAAAGCCACGGCUAACUACGUGCCAGCAGCCGCGGUAAUACGUAGGUGGCAAGCGUUGUCCGGAAUUAUUGGGCGUAAAGGGCUCGCAGGCGGUUUCUUAAGUCUGAUGUGAAAGCCCCCGGCUCAACCGGGGAGGGUCAUUGGAAACUGGGAAACUUGAGUGCAGAAGAGGAGAGUGGAAUUCCACGUGUAGCGGUGAAAUGCGUAGAGAUGUGGAGGAACACCAGUGGCGAAGGCGACUCUCUGGUCUGUAACUGACGCUGAGGAGCGAAAGCGUGGGGAGCGAACAGGAUUAGAUACCCUGGUAGUCCACGCCGUAAACGAUGAGUGCUAAGUGUUAGGGGGUUUCCGCCCCUUAGUGCUGCAGCUAACGCAUUAAGCACUCCGCCUGGAGAGUACGGUCGCAAGACUGAAACUCAAAGGAAUUGACGGGGGCCCGCACAAGCGGUGGAGCAUGUGGUUUAAUUCGAAGCAACGCGAAGAACCUUACCAGGUCUUGACAUCCUCUGACAACCCUAGAGAUAGGGCUUUCUCUUCGGGGACGGAGUGACAGGUGGUGCAUGGUUGUCGUYACCUCUUGUCGUGAGAUGUUGGGUUAAGUCCCGA